UUUCAAUUGAAUGGAACUGUC
Caenorhabditis elegans is the source of this 21-nucleotide non-coding RNA. NCBI's taxonomy places the organism in Eukaryota, Metazoa, Nematoda, Chromadorea, Rhabditida, Rhabditidae. The record is from Ensembl.